GAUGAACGCUGGCGGCGUGCCUAAUACAUGCAAGUCGAGCGAACGGACGAGAAGCUUGCUUCUCUGAUGUCAGCGGCGGACGGGUGAGUAACACGUGGAUAACCUACCUAUAAGACUGGGAUAACUUCGGGAAACCGGAGCUAAUACCGGAUAAUAUUUUGAACCGCAUGGUUCAAAAGUGAAAGACGGUCUUGCUGUCACUUAUAGAUGGAUCCGCGCUGCAUUAGCUAGUUGGUAAGGUAACGGCUUACCAAGGCAACGAUGCACAGCCGACCUGAGAGGGUGAUCGGCCACACUGGAACUGAGACACGGUCCAGACUCCUACGGGAGGCAGCAGUAGGGAAUCUUCCGCAAUGGGCCAAAGCCUGACGGAGCAACGCCGCGUGAGUGAUGAAGGUCUUCGGAUCGUAAAACUCUGUUAUUAGGGAAGAACAUAUGUGUAAGUAACUGUGCACAUCUUGACGGUACCUAAUCAGAAAGCCACGGCUAACUACGUG
This 497-nucleotide ribosomal RNA is filed under the name uncultured bacterium. RNAcentral's name for it is "partial 16S ribosomal RNA". It matches the Rfam family "Bacterial small subunit ribosomal RNA", at positions 28 to 507 of the family's 1533-position model. The record is from RNAcentral.